Molecule: transfer RNA, 71 nt
Filed under: Leptalina unicolor
Lineage: Eukaryota; Metazoa; Arthropoda; Insecta; Lepidoptera; Hesperiidae
Description: tRNA-His
Source: RNAcentral
AUUUAAAUAAUUUAUAGUAAAAUAUUGAUUUGUGGAAUCAAAAAUAUGAAAUAAUUAAUUCAUUUUAAAUU